RNAcentral lists this ribosomal RNA (273 nucleotides) under uncultured bacterium. Its description in RNAcentral is "partial 16S ribosomal RNA". It matches the Rfam family "Bacterial small subunit ribosomal RNA", at positions 524 to 796 of the family's 1533-position model. The record is from RNAcentral.
UACGUAGGGCGCAAGCGUUGUCCGGAAUUAUUGGGCGUAAAGAGCUCGUAGGCGGCCAGUCGCGUCGGGUGUGAAAGACCGGGGCUUAACCCCGGUUCUGCAUUCGAUACGGGCUGGCUAGAGUGUGGUAGGGGAGAUCGGAAUUCCUGGUGUAGCGGUGAAAUGCGCAGAUAUCAGGAGGAACACCGGUGGCGAAGGCGGAUCUCUGGGCCAUUACUGACGCUGAGGAGCGAAAGCGUGGGGAGCGAACAGGAUUAGAAACCCCAGUAGUCC